RNAcentral lists this ribosomal RNA (516 nucleotides) under uncultured bacterium. RNAcentral describes it as "bacterial SSU rRNA". It matches the Rfam family "Bacterial small subunit ribosomal RNA", at positions 993 to 1509 of the family's 1533-position model. The record is from RNAcentral.
GAACUUAGCAGAGAUGCUUUGGUGCCUUCGGGAACUCUGAGACAGGUGCUGCAUGGCUGUCGUCAGCUCGUGUUGUGAAAUGUUGGGUUAAGUCCCGNAACGAGCGCAACCCUUAUCCUUUGUUGCCAGCGGCUCGGCCGGGAACUCAAAGGAGACUGCCGGUGAUAAACCGGAGGAAGGUGGGGAUGACGUCAAGUCAUCAUGGCCCUUACGGCCAGGGCUACACACGUGCUACAAUGGCGCAUACAAAGAGAAGCGACCUCGCGAGAGCAAGCGGACCUCAUAAAGUGCGUCGUAGUCCGGAUUGGAGUCUGCAACUCGACUCCAUGAAGUCGGAAUCGCUAGUAAUCGUAGAUCAGAAUGCUACGGUGAAUACGUUCCCGGGCCUUGUACACACCGCCCGUCACACCAUGGGAGUGGGUUGCAAAAGAAGUAGGUAGCUUAACCUUCGGGAGGGCGCUUACCACUUUGUGAUUCAUGACUGGGGUGAAGUCGUAACAAGGUAAGCGUACGUGU